RNAcentral lists this ribosomal RNA (104 nucleotides) under uncultured bacterium. Its description in RNAcentral is "partial 16S ribosomal RNA". It matches the Rfam family "Bacterial small subunit ribosomal RNA", at positions 1379 to 1482 of the family's 1533-position model. The record is from RNAcentral.
CCUUGUACACACCGCCCGUCACACCAUGGGAGUUGGUUUUACCUUAAGACGGUGCGCUAACCGCGAGGGAGCAGCCGGCCACGGUAGGAUCAGCGACUGGGGUG